CGCUCCUACCGAUUGAGUGUGCUGGUGAAGUGUCGGGAUUGGCUCUGUUUGAUGGCAACAUCGAGCAAGGCUAAAAACGUCAUUAAACCCUCCCACUUAGAGGAAGGAGAGGUCGUAACAAGGUU
This 125-nucleotide ribosomal RNA is filed under the name Ice core clone 111-3. RNAcentral's name for it is "partial 18S ribosomal RNA". It matches the Rfam family "Eukaryotic small subunit ribosomal RNA", at positions 1677 to 1801 of the family's 1831-position model. The record is from RNAcentral.